AGUUAGCAACGUAGGGUACAGAGGUAAGAUGUUCUAUCUUUCAGACCUUUUAUUUCACGUAAUUGAAUGUGGCUGAAUAGCGACCCCGGUGAGUCAUCAUCGGGGUGUUUUUUU
Small RNA from Aeromonas hydrophila subsp. hydrophila ATCC 7966, 114 nucleotides. The record is from Rfam. NCBI's taxonomy places the organism in Bacteria, Pseudomonadati, Pseudomonadota, Gammaproteobacteria, Aeromonadales, Aeromonadaceae.